UCUGUUUUUUAAGGAAAAAAGGUAUACAUUUUUAACUUUUCCCUCCAUUAUGAAUAAAGUUUCACUUAUAUAUAAACUAUAUGUACUGGCUAUACCCAAGUCAUACAGACCACCUAUUGCAAGAUCAACCACCCUUAUUCACAACAGCUGGAACCCCCUAAAAACGGGACCACUAUUCAGACAUACGCACUCAGCCACGAGGACGCCGUCCGGCAAUGCCACUGCUUGUCUGAAUGCCGCCAUCUGCCUGCAUCCAUUAAAGGGGUAUUCCAGGAAAAAACAUUAUAUACACUAUUGCUUUAUCGGUCUUAUUUUUAUUUAUGUUUUAUCAAAUUAAUUUUUUUAUUGAUUUUAUAUUGUGACAAACGUUGUAUAAUAAAUUGUUUUGCAUUUCUAUCAAUCUAACUGUCUAUAAUUUUUGUUCAUUGUGUAUCAUCCUUGAGGUGUGGUUAAUAUAUUACUAUUGAGAUCAUUUACAAAUCUGUUUAACUUUCUGGAGCCAGUUGAUAUAUAAAAAAGUUUUUUCCUGGAAUACCCCUUUAACGGCCUCAUUUACCACAUUCCUAUCUCCACCACGGCUGGAUGCAUCUCCGUGCCAUAUCGGAAGGAUACCGGGACAUCAGGAUUCAUUGCGCAGACUUCAAUAUCGAGCCGGCAGCCCAGCCGUUCCAGCCUGCAAUACGGAGCCUAGAUCCAACAAGGCUACCAUCCCGGGACCUCCAACGCUAGCGGAGCGGUCUGGCAUCUGAAAAUAAAUAAGGAAAUGGUAUGUGAGAUGACGGACAAUAGAGACUUUCAUACAGCACCAAGUGUGUUAUAUGUAUGAUCUCUGAAAGUCUGACAACCAGGACCCCCAGUGAUCUCAAGAAUGGAAGUCCCUGAUUGCCCAUUGGAGGGCACAUCCAUUUAAGUGGGACUGAGUGAGACUGCCCUUGGCUAUUGGUGUCUGUCCCAUAACAGUCAGUGAACUACCAGCAGUUAGGCCGAUGAGUCCUGAGGAGAGUGGGUCCAAGACGGACAUUGAAGCAGCAUCUGCCACACAGGAUGGGCAGGAGUGCAGAAGAACAUGUGGUUCUGCACUGGGUCACCACAAUAGGAGUUACACAAACUGUGUAACAUGUCUACUCUGCUGUGUAUGACUUUUUUGGUGUGGUCUCUGGUGGCCACAAUCAAGCUCUCAAUUCUGUGAACAAUCUAACAAAAAUCAUAUUGCAUUGCAUAUUGGUUUUACAGCAGGUAACAUAUCCAAUAAAGCCGGCUUCACAUGGGUGUAAUACUGCUGUAAAUCCCCUUCUGAUGACCCCAACAUGACAGCUAUCAGUUCAGGUCAUUAGACCCCUGGUCAGGCCGGGAUUUGAGGCCGUAAAGAAGACGCAUAUAUGUAACUAUAAUACGCAUGUAUGAGCAAGCCUGUGUUUCUAUCCCUGAAUGCCCCCUUUAAUCUUCUCCCUUUUUUGAAAACUAUUUCUUGACUUCUUCUUUACUUUGAUAGUGUUGAUAUUUUUUGUGACUACUUUUUCCCAUUAUUCGUAUAGAGAACAACAACAAAAAAAAUAUUUUGUGAGGCCGCACCGGAGGCAACUUCUACCAUUAAUUCUGAGUAUAAUUACGAAGCGUAUGAAGAACAUUACUGUAUAUCAUUUACUUUCUCAGUCAGUAAUGACAACGCAGCAUCCUCCUGUCACAGCACAUUAAUGAAGAGAAAUCAUUUGUCUGGCAUUGGGUUCAGAACGAGAUGAAAGGUCUGCUGGGCAGGCAACCAUAAACAUGUCUCAUUCCCUUUCCAGCGUACAAUCUCAUUACUAAAUGGCACUUUGAUUCCCAGGACGCAGCACAAGCAGACAGGGAAGAACACACAAAUCUAUACUCCGAAGACACUGUCCCCAAAUUGACAAACUGUCCUCCUCAUUGAGACGUUAUAAACAAAGGGAAAAAAUCGACACAAUAGAAUAUAGAGGAGAUUAGAUACACAAAUAACCACACAAAUAUAACAGAAUGACAUAUGCCAGACAUAGUUGGAUCCCUGAAUAAAUAGAAACUUCCCUGAGUCUAUUACUGUUAGUUAUUACUUGCAUUACAUCAUUAGGUAAACUUCCAUUGUAAAGCCCAGUGCAUACAAGUUCAUAUGUGGAUGGCAAUUUUGGGGAAAUGGAUGCAAAAAAAAAUUGUU
Hyla sarda is the source of this 2170-nucleotide long non-coding RNA. RefSeq lists it as uncharacterized. The transcript is spliced from 4 exons. The record is from RefSeq and is a predicted model, not a curated record. Lineage: Eukaryota; Metazoa; Chordata; Amphibia; Anura; Hylidae.